This 1195-nucleotide ribosomal RNA is filed under the name uncultured bacterium. RNAcentral describes it as "bacterial SSU rRNA". It matches the Rfam family "Bacterial small subunit ribosomal RNA", at positions 172 to 1354 of the family's 1533-position model. The record is from RNAcentral.
CAUAACAAUUUGAAUCGCAUGAUUCAGAUUUAAAAGAUGGUUUCGGCUAUCACUUUGGGAUGGACCUGCGGCGCAUUAGCUUGUUGGUAGGGUAACGGCCUACCAAGGCUGUGAUGCGUAGCCGAGUUGAGGGACUGAUCGGCCACAAUGGAACUGAGACACGGUCCAUACUCCUACGGGAGGCAGCAGUAGGGAAUCUUCCACAAUGGGCGCAAGCCUGAUGGAGCAACACCGCGUGAGUGAAGAAGGGUUUCGGCUCGUAAAGCUCUGUUGUUAGAGAAGAACGUGCGUGAGAGCAACUGUUCACGCAGUGACGGUAUCUAACCAGAAAGUCACGGCUAACUACGUGCCAGCAGCCGCGGUAAUACGUAGGUGGCAAGCGUUAUCCGGAUUUAUUGGGCGUAAAGCGAGCGCAGGCGGUUUGAUAAGUCUGAUGUGAAAGCCUUUGGCUUAACCAAAGAAGUGCAUCGGAAACUGUCAGACUUGAGUGCAGAAGAGGACAGUGGAACUCCAUGUGUAGCGGUGGAAUGCGUAGAUAUAUGGAAGAACACCAGUGGCGAAGGCGGCUGUCUGGUCUGCAACUGACGCUGAGGCUCGAAAGCAUGGGUAGCGAACAGGAUUAGAUACCCUGGUAGUCCAUGCCGUAAACGAUGAGUGCUAGGUGUUGGAGGGUUUCCGCCCUUCAGUGCCGCAGCUAACGCAUUAAGCACUCCGCCUGGGGAGUACGACCGCAAGGUUGAAACUCAAAGGAAUUGACGGGGGCCCGCACAAGCGGUGGAGCAUGUGGUUUAAUUCGAAGCUACGCGAAGAAUCUUACCAGGUCUUGACAUCUUGCGCCAACCCUAGAGAUAGGGCGUUUCCUUCGGGAACGCAAUGACAGGUGGUGCAUGGUCGUCGUCAGCUCGUGUCGUGAGAUGUUGGGUUAAGUCCCGCAACGAGCGCAACCCUUGUUACUAGUUGCCAGCAUUCAGUUGGGCACUCUAGUGAGACUGCCGGUGACAAACCGGAGGAAGGUGGGGACGACGUCAGAUCAUCAUGCCCCUUAUGACCUGGGCUACACACGUGCUACAAUGGACGGUACAACGAGUCGCGAACUCGCGAGGGCAAGCUAAUCUCUUAAAACCGUUCUCAGUUCGGACUGCAGGCUGCAACUCGCCUGCACGAAGUCGGAAUCGCUAGUAAUCGCGGCCCAGCC